Molecule: long non-coding RNA, 714 nt
Filed under: Homo sapiens (human)
Lineage: Eukaryota; Metazoa; Chordata; Mammalia; Primates; Hominidae
Description: HSALNT0309216
Source: RNAcentral
AAUAUACAUCACCAACUGCAAAACCAAAGGACUGAGCGCAUCAACUGUUUACAAGAUGAAUCAUCUGUAUGAAAUGGCGGCAAUCACAGAGGCAGACUUCAACCUACGUGCCAGCCUCCUCACCUUGUCAUGACUGUAAAAGCUGGAUUAAAUGGGCUUGUCUAUAUUGGGUGCCUAGUUACCAGGCUGCUUCCAAAGUGGAUACUGUGGCCAUCAGUGACUCCUUCCUUGACCUCAGCAAUAGGGACUACGUGUCCAGAAAUGAUUCUACCCAUGGCAAGUUCAACGGCAUCAUCAAGGCUGAGAACAGUCCCAUCCAAGACCCAUGAAGAAGGAAGGACCUGAGAGUCUUCCCUUGUUGAAUACCAUUGCUGCCAUCAAGAAAAUUUCCACUGUGUACAAUGCGGGUGCAGUUAAGAAAAUAAAACACAUGGAGACACAUGAAAUAGACAUUAUAAUCACUGGCAUUAUAAUCCUACACACUAUACUGAAAAAAAAGCAUGAUGGCCUGUAAUUUAUACAUUGAUUCAAAGCAAUUAUUACCAGGGACUUGAGAUCUUUGUCAUUUCGCCAUGGGAACAGCCCUACAAGUGGGUCUCACAUGUCCCUUGAAGGUGGAUUUGAAUACUGAAAGAAAGUGAACCUAUACAAAUAAAUCUACGCUCUUAACACUUUAAAACAAGAAUUCACCAUGCUCUCUUCCCUUUAUUUUAG